Molecule: long non-coding RNA, 1398 nt
Filed under: Mus musculus (house mouse)
Lineage: Eukaryota; Metazoa; Chordata; Mammalia; Rodentia; Muridae
Description: long non-coding RNA chr2:151038983-151040381
Source: RNAcentral
GAGCCUCUUCCCCAAAACCCACCGCAGCCCAUCUCGCGCGGGGCUGCAGCAAGAGGAGGGCGAGGGGUCUCGUCCCGCGCCGUCCGAGCCCGGGUGACCGCAGGUGGCGGCGACUCUGCAGUCGUGGCAGUUCAGAGUCCAGCACCCGGCCCCACGCGCGGGAAAGAAGCUCCACGGGCACGCAGCGGGGGGACUGAGGGUGCGGAGCGGAGUGCUGGCCCGGCAGGGGAGGGCGACGGCGCGGGGACGUUACCUCCAACAUGCCUCUCCUGCUCGCCCCGGCCGUGUCGAUGAGUGUGUUGUCCAGGUCAAAGAAGACCGCGCGGACCCGACUCAGCCCCAUAGCCUCGGCAACCCAAGCAGCGCGCGAGCCGCUUCUGCCGCGCCGCGCAUGCGCAAGGCGGUCAGGAACACCUGGGCGGAGUCUCGGAGGUCACCUGACCCUUCCAAAGCUCCGGGGUCUCCGUGGCAAGAUCGCGCGAGAUUCGGACACUAAAUUUUAUAGGGUGCGCGUGCACGAGAGGUGGAUGAGUGUUAUCAAGGCUUACUGCUGUGUGUGGGUGGAUGGUCCUCUCCGUUAAUGGCUUGGUGGGCUUGCUUAGGGCUGAGAAGGACAUCCGAGCCGUACUGGAGAAACUCUCCAGACCCUUGGCUGGCCUGUCUUUCUAUGGUGACCGCACAGUCUCCAUCAGGAGAUGGGGCAGGAGAGUGUGCCCACCAACCUCGGAACCUAGCUGCCCGGUGACUUUAGCGCUUCACUUCUUGCCCACAGCCUUGUAGGAACUAGAGCCUUCAUCUGAACAUCCUUUGAAAGAUGCUUAGAAGAACUGAAGAGAAAUGGGAGUCUCUGCAGUGUCUGCCGAAUGGUUGUUCUUAAAAAUGUGUAUUUGUGUUUCUGUGUACGUGAGUGCCUGCAGAGGACAGACGAGGUCGUCCUGGAGCUGCAGUUGCGGCGGCUGUGAGCUGCCCACUGUGGGUGCUGGGAACUUGGGUCCUCUACAAGAGCAGUAUGAGUUCUUAACCAGUGAACCAUUUCUCCAGCUCCUUUCCCUCCAUCUUUACUCAUUUUUCUGAAACUCUGCAGCCCAAGUCUUGUGUGCCUAUUAAUUGCAUGGUUUUCUGUAAUUUCUAGCAAGGAACCGAGACUGUCUGUUAAGAACCCCACAAGAUAAGUAACAAGGUUUGCCUUCUGUUGGUUGAAAUCAACCUCUAAUCCUUUUUUAUUGAUGAAAUUUGGAGUCACUUUCACUAACCUGGAACUUAUUGGGUCAGCCAAUGCCACAGACCUGGUUCUGAGCUUUCGAAUUAGGAUUGGUUCUUACAUUGUAAGUUAUUCAGAGAAAAUGAGAAAGUAUUUCAUAACAUGUGAGAAUUGAUUAAAUUUAAUUGUCUAUAGUU